Molecule: transfer RNA, 76 nt
Filed under: Acuticoccus sp. MNP-M23
Lineage: Bacteria; Pseudomonadati; Pseudomonadota; Alphaproteobacteria; Hyphomicrobiales; Amorphaceae
Description: tRNA-Thr
Rfam family: tRNA
About the family: Transfer RNA (tRNA) molecules are approximately 80 nucleotides in length.
Source: RNAcentral
GCCGCACUAGCUCAGAUGGUAGAGCAACGCAUUCGUAAUGCGUGGGUCGCUGGUUCGAGUCCGGCGUGCGGCACCA